This is a non-coding RNA of Phascolarctos cinereus (koala), 355 nucleotides long. Lineage: Eukaryota; Metazoa; Chordata; Mammalia; Diprotodontia; Phascolarctidae. The record is from RefSeq and is a predicted model, not a curated record.
GACAAAAUAGCCUAUUUGCAGAUCUCUAAACUUGGCAAAGCAUUGUCCGCUGCUGUUUCUGUGUUGUUCCCCAUUCCUGGAAUGCACCGCCUUGUCACCGCUGCCUCUUAGAAUGCCUAGUCUCUGCUCAAGUUUCAGGUUGUUCAAGUUUCAGUUUGUUUUUGUGCCACCUCCUCUGGUGAGGGAAUUAUGAGAAUUGAGUGAACCACUCUGUCUUCAUCUUAUGCUCGAUCUAGAUAAAGUGUUGUAUAACCACAUCUCUUCCAUAUUGAACUUGUGAGAUUGAUUUUUUGAAAAAUGGAAGUGUAACUCGGUCUUGUCUGGGCGUGCUAGUCUCACCUAACAUGGAGGUCUC